GACGAACGCUGGCGGCGUGCUUAACACAUGCAAGUCGAACGGAAAGGCCCUGCUUGCAGGGUACUCGAGUGGCGAACGGGUGAGUAACACGUGGGUGAUCUGCCCUGCACUUCGGGAUAAGCCUGGGAAACUGGGUCUAAUACCGGAUAGGAGCCAUUUUUAGUGUGAUGGUUGGAAAGUUUUUUCGGUGUAGGAUGAGCUCGCGGCCUAUCAGCUUGUUGGUGGGGUAAUGGCCUACCAAGGCGGCGACGGGUAGCCGGCCUGAGAGGGUGGACGGCCACAUUGGGACUGAGAGACGGCACAGACUCCGACGGGAGGCAGCAGUGGGGAAUAUUGAACAAUGGGCGCAAGCCUGAUGCAGCGACGCCGCGUGGGGGAUGACGGCCUUCGGGUUGUAAACUCCUUUCGCUAGGGACGAAGCUUUUUGUGACGGUACCUAGAUAAGAAGCACCGGCUAACUACGUG
RNAcentral lists this ribosomal RNA (465 nucleotides) under uncultured bacterium. RNAcentral's name for it is "partial 16S ribosomal RNA". It matches the Rfam family "Bacterial small subunit ribosomal RNA", at positions 28 to 507 of the family's 1533-position model. The record is from RNAcentral.